GACGAACGCUGGCGGCGUGCCUAAUACAUGCAAGUAGAACGCACAGGAUGCACCGUAGUUUACUACACCGUAUUCUGUGAGUUGCGAACGGGUGAGUAACGCGUAGGUAACCUGCCUGGUAGCGGGGGAUAACUAUUGGAAACGAUAGCUAAUACCGCAUAAGAACAUUUACUGCAUGGUAGAUGUUUAAAAGGUGCAAAUGCAUCACUACCAGAUGGACCUGCGUUGUAUUAGCUAGUAGGUGAGGUAACGGCUCACCUAGGCGACGAUACAUAGCCGACCUGAGAGGGUGAUCGGCCACACUGGGACUGAGACACGGCCCAGACUCCUACGGGAGGCAGCAGUAGGGAAUCUUCGGCAAUGGGGGGAACCCUGACCGAGCAACGCCGCGUGAGUGAAGAAGGUUUUCGGAUCGUAAAGCUCUGUUGUUAAGGAAGAACGAGUGUGAGAAUGGAAAGUUCAUACUGUGACGGUACUUAACCAGAAAGGACGG
Molecule: ribosomal RNA, 493 nt
Filed under: Streptococcus intermedius
Lineage: Bacteria; Bacillati; Bacillota; Bacilli; Lactobacillales; Streptococcaceae
Description: bacterial SSU rRNA
Rfam family: Bacterial small subunit ribosomal RNA
Source: RNAcentral